GGGUCAGUGCGCGUAGUUGGCGAUCGCAGCGGUCUGUAAAACCGUGACAAGAGAAACAUCGUUGGUUCAAUUCCAACCUGACCCA
Molecule: non-coding RNA, 85 nt
Organism: Oscillibacter sp. 57_20
Lineage: Bacteria; Bacillati; Bacillota; Clostridia; Eubacteriales; Oscillospiraceae
Source: Rfam